Molecule: ribosomal RNA, 297 nt
Filed under: uncultured microorganism
Description: partial 16S ribosomal RNA
Rfam family: Bacterial small subunit ribosomal RNA
Source: RNAcentral
GUGCCAGGCAGCCGCCGUAAUACCGAAGGGGGCUAGCGUUGCUCCGAAUCACUGGGCGUAAAGGCGCGCGUAGGCGGCGUUUUAAGUCGGGGGUGAAAGCCUGUGGCUCAACCACCAGAAUGGCCUUCGAUACUGGGACGCUUGAGUAUGGUAGAGGUUGGUGGAACUGCGAGUGUAGAGGUGAAAUUCGUAGAUAUUCGCAAGAACACCGGUGGCGAAGGCGGCCAACUGGACCAUUACUGACGCUGAGGCGCGAAAGCGUGGGGAGCAAACAGGGAUUAGAUACCCUGGUAGUCC